UGUAAAAUAAGCUAAAUAUCAAGCUGUUGGGUUCAUACCCCAAAAAUGAGACAACUCUUUUACAA
This 65-nucleotide transfer RNA is filed under the name Oncomelania hupensis robertsoni. RNAcentral's name for it is "tRNA-Met". Lineage: Eukaryota; Metazoa; Mollusca; Gastropoda; Littorinimorpha; Pomatiopsidae. The record is from RNAcentral. RNAcentral also lists the same sequence under 1 other name.